AGUGAGGGAUUUUGCGCAAUGGGGGAAACCCUGACGCAGCAACGCCGCGUGAGUGAAGAAGGCCUUUGGGUCGUAAAGCUCUGUCGACAGGGAAGAAGUUGAGGUGUAUUAAUAGUAUAUUUCAUUGACGGUACCUGUAGAGGAAGCAUCGGCUAACUCCGUGCCAGCAGCCGCGGUAAUACGGGGGAUGCAAGCGUUAUUCGGAAUCAUUGGGCGUAAAGGGCACGCAGGCGGUUCUGUCAGUCAGAUGUGAAAGCCCGGGGCUUAACCCCGGACGUGCAUUUGAAACAGCAGGACUUGAGUACGGUAGAGGAAAGCGGAAUUCCUGGUGUAGAGGUGAAAUUCGUAGAUAUCAGGAGGAACACCGGUGGCGAAGGCGGCUUUCUGGACCGAAACUGACGCUGAGGUGCGAAGGCGUGGGUAGCGAACAGGAUUAGAUACCCUGGUAGUCCACGCAGUAAACGUUGUACACUAGGUGUAGCGGGUAUUGACCCCUGCUGUGCCGGAGCUAACGCAUUAAGUGUACCGCCUGGGGAGUACGGCCGCAAGGCUAAAACUCAAAGAAAUUGACGGGGGCCCGCACAAGCGGUGGAGCAUGUGGUUUAAUUCGACGCAACGCGAAGAACCUUACCCAGACUUGACAUCCUGUGAACCUCUUAGAAAUAAGAGGGUGCCUUCGGGAGCACAGAGACAGGUGCUGCAUGGCUGUCGUCAGCUCGUGUCGUGAGAUGUUCGGUUAAGUCCGGCAACGAGCGCAACCCUUGUCUUCAGUUGCCAGCACGUAAAGGUGGGAACUCUGAAGAGACUGCCCCGGUUAACGGGGAGGAAGGUGGGGAUGACGUCAAGUCCUCAUGGCCCUUAUGUCUGGGGCUACACACGUGCUACAAUGGUAUGUACAAAGGGCAGCAAGCAUGCGAGUGCAAGCCAAUCCCUUAAAGCAUAUCCCAGUCCGGAUUGGAGUCUGCAACUCGACUCCAUGAAGUUGGAAUCGCUAGUAAUCGUGGAUCAGCAUGCCACGGUGAAUACGU
RNAcentral lists this ribosomal RNA (1028 nucleotides) under uncultured bacterium. RNAcentral describes it as "bacterial SSU rRNA". It matches the Rfam family "Bacterial small subunit ribosomal RNA", at positions 353 to 1371 of the family's 1533-position model. The record is from RNAcentral.